RNAcentral lists this ribosomal RNA (360 nucleotides) under uncultured bacterium. RNAcentral's name for it is "bacterial SSU rRNA". It matches the Rfam family "Bacterial small subunit ribosomal RNA", at positions 72 to 422 of the family's 1533-position model. The record is from RNAcentral.
AAGCGGGGCAACUCGCAAGUAGAGCGGCGAACGGGUGAGUAACACGUGGGUGAUCUGCCUCCGAGUGGGGAACAACAGCGGGAAACUGCUGCUAAUACCGCAUGACAUCAUCGGGUCACAUCGAUGAUCAAAGCCGGGGACCGCAAGGCCUGGCGCUUGGAGAGGAGCCCGCGUCCGAUUAGCUAGUUGGCGGGGUAAUGGCCCACCAAGGCAACGAUCGGUAGCCGGCCUGAGAGGGCGGACGGACACACUGGGACUGAGACACGGCCCAGACUCCUACGGGAGGCAGCAGUGGGGAAUUGUUCGCAAUGGGCGCAAGCCUGACGACGCAACGCCGCGUGGAGGAUGAAGAUCUUCGGG